RNAcentral lists this ribosomal RNA (492 nucleotides) under uncultured bacterium. Its description in RNAcentral is "partial 16S ribosomal RNA". It matches the Rfam family "Bacterial small subunit ribosomal RNA", at positions 26 to 507 of the family's 1533-position model. The record is from RNAcentral.
GGGGGGGGGGGGGGGGGGGGGGGGGGGGGGGAAGGCGGACGGGGGCGGGGGGAGAGGGGGCUCGUACGGGGGGCGAGUGGCGGGCGGGGGGGGAAGCCGUAGUAAGCUGAGUAUGAGGGGGGGAGAAAGUAGGGAAGCUUACGAUAAUACCGCAUACGACCUACGGGUGCAAGCAGAGGAUCUUCGGACGUUGAGCGACUGAAUGCGCCGAUGUCGGCUUGGCUAGUUCGCGGGGUAGAGGCCCACCAAGGCGACCAUCCGUAGAGGGUCUGAGAGGGUGAUCAGCCACACUGUAACUGAGACACGGUCCAGACUCCUACGGGAGGCCGCAGUGGGGAAUAUUGGACAAUGGGCGCAAUCCUGAUCCAGCCAUGCCGCGUUGGUGAAGAAGGCCUUCGGGUUGUAAAGCCCUUUUGUUGGGAAAGAAAAGAAGCAGGUUAAUACCCCGCUGUUCUGACGGUACCCAAAGAAUAAGCACCGGCUAACUUCGUG